GUCUGAACUCAGAUCACGUAAGAUUUUAAAAGUCGAACAGACUUAAAAUUUAAAUUUCUACUCCUAAACUUAUAUCUUAAUCCAACAUCGAGGUCGCAAUCUUUUUUAUCGAUAUGAACUCUCCAAAAAAAUUACGCUGUUAUCCCUAAAGUAACUUAAUUUUUUAAUCAUUAUUAAUGGAUCAAUUAUUCAUAAAUUAAUGGUUUUAAAUAAUUAAAAGUUAAUUAAAUUUUAAUAUCACCCCAAUAAAAUAUAAUUAAAUAUCAUAAAAAAAAAUAUCUAAAUAAUUAAAAUAAUAAUUAUAUAAAGAUUUAUAGGGUCUUCUCGUCUUUUAAAUAAAUUUUAGCUUUUUAACUAAAAAAUAAAAUUCUAUUAUAAUUUUAAAUGAAACAGUAAAUAUCUUGUUCAACCAUUCAUACAAGCCUUCAAUUAAAAGACUAAUUAUUAUGCUACCUUUGCACAGUUAAUAUACUGCGGCC
This 479-nucleotide ribosomal RNA is filed under the name Protonephrocerus chiloensis. RNAcentral describes it as "partial 16S ribosomal RNA". Lineage: Eukaryota; Metazoa; Arthropoda; Insecta; Diptera; Pipunculidae. The record is from RNAcentral.